CUUGCUUCUCGGCUUUUUGGCUAAGAUCAAGUGUAGUAUCUGUUCUUAUCAGUUUAAUAUCUGAUACGUCCCCUAUCCAACCAGGAAGUCGUGGCCUAAUGGUUAGAGAUUCGGACUCGUAAACCAAAGGUUGGCAAUUCUAGUCUCGGGCUGUAGGUUGGGGGAGUGAAUGUCCAGUGCUCUCUUCACCUUCAAUACCCU
This 201-nucleotide small nuclear RNA is filed under the name Carassius auratus (goldfish). RNAcentral's name for it is "U2 spliceosomal RNA (ENSCARG00000011721.1)". It matches the Rfam family "U2 spliceosomal RNA". Rfam says of the family: U2 is a small nuclear RNA (snRNA) component of the spliceosome (involved in pre-mRNA splicing). The record is from Rfam by way of RNAcentral. Lineage: Eukaryota; Metazoa; Chordata; Actinopteri; Cypriniformes; Cyprinidae.